RNAcentral lists this ribosomal RNA (433 nucleotides) under uncultured bacterium. Its description in RNAcentral is "partial 16S ribosomal RNA". It matches the Rfam family "Bacterial small subunit ribosomal RNA", at positions 29 to 507 of the family's 1533-position model. The record is from RNAcentral.
AACGAACGCUGGCGGCAUGCCUAACACAUGCAAGUCGAACGAGACCUUCGGGUCUAGUGGCGCACGGGUGCGUAACGCGUGGGAAUCUGCCCUUGGGUUCGGGAUAACAGUUGGAAACGACUGCUAAUACCGGAUGAUGACUUCGGUCCAAAGAUUUAUCGCCCAGGGAUGAGCCCGCGUCGGAUUAGCUAGUUGGUGAGGUAAGAGCUCACCAAGGCGACGAUCCGUAGCUGGUCUGAGAGGAUGAUCAGCCACACUGGGACUGAGGCACGGCCCAGACUCCUACGGGAGGCAGCAGUGGGGAAUAUUGGACAAUGGGCGAAAGCCUGAUCCAGCAAUGCCGCGUGAGUGAUGAAGGCCUUAGGGUUGUAAAGCUCUUUUACCCGGGAUGAUAAUGACAGUACCGGGAGAAUAAGCCCCGGCUAACUCCGUG